Molecule: long non-coding RNA, 1747 nt
Filed under: Mus musculus (house mouse)
Lineage: Eukaryota; Metazoa; Chordata; Mammalia; Rodentia; Muridae
Description: long non-coding RNA chr1:151767178-151768925
Source: RNAcentral
AGUAUCCUUGAAAGCCAGAAGAGGGUGCUAGACUUCUAGAACUGGAGUUAAAGGUGGUGGUGAGCCACCCUGCAGAUGCCAGGAACUGAAUCUGGGUCCUUUGGACAAGCAGUUGUUUAGUCUGGUUCUACUGCUGUGAUAGAACACUAUGGCCAAAAGCAGUUUGGAGAGGAAAGGAUUUAUUUUGUCCUGACAGUGUAUCAUCCAGGGAUGUCAGGGCAGGGACUGGAGGUGGGAACUGAUGCACACGCACAGAGUGCCGCUUCCUGGCUUGCUCAGCCUGCUUUCUUAUACUCCAAGGACCUCCUGCCCACAGCAAUACCAUCUCUAGUGAGCUGGGCCUGCUCAGACCAGCCAUAAUUAGAAAAUGCACUACAGACGUGCCUAAAAGCAAACCCUACAGACACAUUUUCUCAAUUGAGAAUCCCUCAUAACAAAUGACUGUAACUUGUGUCAUGUUGACAGAAACUAACCAGGACAAACAAAGUGCUUUUCACUGCUGCUCCAUCUUUCAGUCUCCCAUAAUUGAGACUUUGGCCAAGAGCUUUGAAGGUUCCUCACAUUCACACUGUGGUCUGGGAACAGUACCCAGAUGGAUAGUGUUAGAAUCCUCAAGGGGGGCUGACCCACAUCCCUCUAUUCCUCUUGCCUGAGUUUUGAUUGUGAUUUUUGCCUUGGUUGUCUGAUUUCUUCAGCAAGUUUCCUGGGUUUGAAGGUGUCAUAGGUGUUCUAUUUCUCUAUAGGUGGUAGGUUGUCUCCUCCCUUACAUAACUUGGAGAACAUCUGAGCAGUCUGGAAUGCUUAAGACAGACAUGUUUUCUUUCCUUCAGAAACUUGAAGACACAGUUCUGCGGUCCUUUUGCGCUUGUUGGGUAUUUCUGUGUUCAUUAGUAGUCUGCUGUGUGUGCUGUGUAACUUGUUUUAUUACUCAACUGCUUGCACAGUUCUUAAUUCUUAAAGUUCAGCAGCAAUAUUUCCAGUUGUGUGUAUGAGUCUCUCUAUGUCUCUCAUGCACCUUUGUUACCUAGACUCCAAACUCAUGGUAUAUAGCAGAAGAGCAAUAGAGACAGAACACCAAACACAUGGUGUUCCUCAACAUUCUCUGAUGGGUACCGAGGAAAAUGAAGAAUAGCGAAUCUAAUAGCUAGCAUUUUUAAUAUUUAAAGUAUUAAAAAGUGGAAAGUAAGCCCUUUGCUGUUGUGUCAUGCAGUGCUUGCUCUCCUGAGAUGCAGGGCAAGUGUUGUCCCUGGUGUGGGGAGUCCUUCUAGUCCCUUCUAAUUCUGGAUGGAUGUCAGACAUUUGAUACUUUGCUCUCUUAGUGUCAUGAAAUAUGUCUAGAAUUUCCUUUGUAGGAUUACUUUCUCUGACAUCUUUAACUCUUUGUCAUAACCAGUUUCUUAAAUUACAUUGAUAAUUUGGCCAAUGUAUUUCAUAUAAUUGAGAAAGAAUGAAUUCUUUAAAAAGCAGACUUUAUAGAAUUGACAUUUGGGGGAACAAAUAGCAUUAAACAUUUGAAACAAAAUAAAUUCCAUGUAGAGAAAACAAUUUUAGAGUGUGUGUAUAUAUGUGUGUAUACACAUAUAUGUGUGUACAUGUAUAUGUGUGUGUGCAUGUAUGAGUGUAUGUAUAUGUGUAUGAGUAAUGUGUCUAGGGCCCAGAGUAGCCUGGUGUAGCAUUCCUGGAACCCAGAAACCAUGAAGGAAGAAAUGAGUAGAUUUGCCUACUUAAAGCUUAUAGUGAAAACACU